GCGGGCAUAACUCAGCGGUAGAGUGCCGGCUUCCCAAGCCGGUGGUCGCGGGUUCGAAUCCCGUUGCCCGCUCUA
RNAcentral lists this transfer RNA (75 nucleotides) under Caldifarciminota bacterium 4484_18. RNAcentral's name for it is "tRNA-Gly". It matches the Rfam family "tRNA". Rfam says of the family: Transfer RNA (tRNA) molecules are approximately 80 nucleotides in length. The record is from RNAcentral. Lineage: Bacteria; Pseudomonadati; Caldifarciminota.